CUUGGCCGAGCCCAGCCACAGCGGCGACUGCCGGUCCUGGCCGUAGGUGGCCAGCAGCGCGUGCGCCUC
This 69-nucleotide antisense RNA is filed under the name Nonomuraea solani. RNAcentral describes it as "ASpks TB sRNA". It matches the Rfam family "ASpks TB sRNA". The record is from Rfam by way of RNAcentral. Lineage: Bacteria; Bacillati; Actinomycetota; Actinomycetes; Streptosporangiales; Streptosporangiaceae.